This 641-nucleotide ribosomal RNA is filed under the name Kribbella sp. I11A-00415. RNAcentral's name for it is "bacterial SSU rRNA". It matches the Rfam family "Bacterial small subunit ribosomal RNA", at positions 95 to 750 of the family's 1533-position model. The record is from RNAcentral. Lineage: Bacteria; Bacillati; Actinomycetota; Actinomycetes; Propionibacteriales; Kribbellaceae.
GCGGCGAACGGGUGAGUAACACGUGAGCAACCUACCCUCAACUUCGGGAUAAGCCUCGGAAACGGGGUCUAAUACCGGAUAUCACUUCCUGCUUCAUGGUGGGGGGUUGAAAGUUCUGGCGGUUGGGGAUGGGCUCGCGGCCUAUCAGCUUGUUGGUGGGGUAAUGGCCUACCAAGGCGUCGACGGGUAGCCGGCCUGAGAGGGCGACCGGCCACACUGGGACUGAGACACGGCCCAGACUCCUACGGGAGGCAGCAGUGGGGAAUAUUGCGCAAUGGACGAAAGUCUGACGCAGCAACGCCGCGUGAGGGAUGACGGCCUUCGGGUUGUAAACCUCUUUCAGCAGGGACGAAGCGAGAGUGACGGUACCUGCAGAAGAAGGACCGGCCAACUACGUGCCAGCAGCCGCGGUAAUACGUAGGGUCCGAGCGUUGUCCGGAAUUAUUGGGCGUAAAGGGCUCGUAGGCGGUUCGUCACGUCGGGAGUGAAAACUCGGAGCUUAACUCCGAGCCUGCUUCCGAUACGGGCAGACUAGAGGUAGGCAGGGGAGAGCGGAACUCCUGGUGUAGCGGUGGAAUGCGCAGAUAUCAGGAAGAACACCGGUGGCGAAGGCGGCUCUCUGGGCCUUACCUGACGCUGAG